RNAcentral lists this ribosomal RNA (253 nucleotides) under uncultured bacterium. RNAcentral's name for it is "partial 16S ribosomal RNA". It matches the Rfam family "Bacterial small subunit ribosomal RNA", at positions 524 to 776 of the family's 1533-position model. The record is from RNAcentral.
UACAGAGGGGGCAAGCGUUAUUCGGAAUUAUUGGGCGUAAAGGGCGCGUAGGCGGCUUUGCAAGUGGCGGGUGAAAUCCCUCGGCUUAACCGAGGAACUGCCUGUCAAACUGCAUGGCUUGAGACCAGGAGAGGUGAGUGGAAUUCCCAGUGUAGCGGUGAAAUGCGUAGAUAUUGGGAGGAACACCAGUGGCGAAGGCGGCUUACUGGACUGGUACUGACGCUGAUGCGCGAAAGCGUGGGGAGCAAACAGG